AUGAUGGAGCAUGAUAAUGUGAGAAAAAAGAAUCUGUGCGUGUAUGUGUAACUGAGUCACCAUGCUGUGCAGUGGAAGAUUGACAGAGUAUGGUAAACCAGCUAUAAUGGAAAAAAAUAAAAAACAGUUAUAUAUUUUUAAAAAAGAGUUUCCUGGUGGCCUAGGGGUUAAGGAUUUGGCCUUGUCACUGCAGCAGCUCAGCUGGAUGCUGGAAUUUACUACAAAUCACCACUUUGUGUUCAAAACAAAGUGACAUCUUGACUUGUCUUGUUGAUCAGAUAACUAUUUACAUUCUUAAACUUUCUCCUAAGCAUCCUGUGACCUGAAGACACAGAAUGAAGAUAAAGGUUUGGAAACCCACAGGAAAGAGAACAGUACACUCUGUCCACACUCUCCCUCACAGGAACCACUCCUCAGCCCUUGAGAUGCAGACCAGACGGCACCUCUCGUAGGAUGCUGCCAUCACCCUGACUCGUGUGGUGCCUGCAGAAUGCCCCAUCCUUUAGCAUUCUUUGAAGACCUCAACUCCAGCCCACAGCACAGAGCCUUACUCCUCUCUGAUCACCUGUCUGGGCUCCCUAAGGCAGGGGUAUCUCAUUAUCCAUCUUUGAUUCUGUAGCAACUAUAACAGUGCAUGAUGCUUGACAGUUCUUCAAAACAUCAAUUGAACGGUAACUCACUGAACGAAUGGAGGAAAAAAAGGCAUGAGCAUGAAAGAGGGAAUCAGAAAUAGACUCUCAGACAUGGAGAGCCGACUCGUGGUUUCCAAGGGGGAGGGGGAGGGAAUGGGAAGGACCAGGGGUUUGGGGUGGGUAGAUGCAGACUAUUACACUGAGAAUGGAUGAGCAAUGAGGUCCUGAUGUUUAAUACAGGGAGCUACAUCCAAUCAUUUGUGAUGGAACAUAAUGGAAGAUGACAUGAGAAAAAGAAUGUGUAUUUUAUAUAUGUAUAUAUAUGUGUGUGUAUAUAUAUAUGUAUAUAUGACUGGGUCACUAUGCUGUAGAAUAGAAAUUGACAGAACAUUGUAAAUCCACUCUAAUAAAAAAAUUUCAAAAAAGAAAAAGGGAAUCAGAAUGGCUUCCAGAGACCCUGAGAAAUCAAGAAUAGGGACAUUCAAAAACAAGGUGGAAGAGGGAAGGAAUAGGGUUCAGGAAGGAGGGAGCAUGUUGUUCCCUGAUUCCCAAUUUGAGGUGGAAGGAGAACAGAGGAGGGAGGGGUGGUUAACACAAGCCCCUGCCCAUCCCCGGGGUCUGGGGCUGGUCCUGUCUUUUUCUGGCUCAGAGCUUGAUGAGAAGAGGCUCGCGUUCCCAUUUGUAAAGUGGAAAUAAUAGCCGUCGUAGAUCCCUAGGAUGGUUAUGAACACGAAAUCAGACCGUGCGCAUAAAGCACCGAGGAGAGUAUGCACACGUCGAGUAGCUAUUAGGGAUCAUUGUGCUGGGCGAUGAAUUCUAAUGGUUACCAGAACAAUUCGCAGGAGCAGCACACACUCAUUAAUCCUAAUCCAUGCCCUGUGUGAGGCUGAGUCUGCCAGGCAUUUUAAGGCAUGAAGAGAUCUAAGACCCAGCCAUCCCAUCCUUCUCAAAAGGCUUCAUAUAGUUGUAGAGUCAGACCAUCUCGCCUCUACCCAGAGGGUCUUUCCUAUCCUCUCCCUCCCCCAAGCCGGAGCUGCCAAGAAAAGCCAGCACUUGGACCCUGAAAAACACACCAUACUGUGUAAGUGGGACUUAGCAUGGGGUUGUCGAACCUCAUACCUUAUGAGCAGCUUCAUCUGCCAUAACUUAGAUUGUGAUGGGAAAUAAAAUGCAAGCACGGCGAAGAGCUCACUGCGCACGGCAAGACAUGUUUUAUCUCUAGCCACCAAGUGGAAUUGCAUUCCUGUUGUGAAACCCAGAUUGAUGCAUGCGUUUUAUUUAUAACCCUUUCUCUCCAAGUUCCUCCAAGUUACAAGUUAGCAAUGAAAGUUUGCAGUGGCUUUUAAAAGGCCUGCUGGCACCUCCGCUGACAGUCAGCUUCUUGUAAGUGACAGGAACAGACCUCAGGAUCACCGAGAGUCAACAGGCAGUGCAGAAUGGACCUGUCCAAGAAAGAAUGGUGAUGAUGGAAGGGGAGAGGCGGAAAGUCAAACGAGUGAGCCUGUUCCUGCAGGUCAAACCCACCAUACCAGCAUCUCGCACUGGCCAUCAUCCAAUCAGUGGUGCUUUCUCCCUUCAACAUCUCCUGGAGUCUGAGCAGGACAAGAACCUCCUUCUAAUCCAUCUGCCUGUUCUCCAUCCUUCUCCUCCAGUGGCUGCAGAGAACCCACACAGAACCAUUUAGCUGGCAGUGCCCUGAGUUUGGUGAUCAUUUCUCAUUUCUAAACACUCAUGAUGUGCUAAGCGGCAAGGUAGAAGGUGUGUUAGCCAAGAAGCAUCAACCCUGAAGAGCAGAGACAACCAAAUCAAAGAUAAGGGCUUUGGAAAACAAUCCAGAAGCUCCUCAGAGAAUUAAACAUAGUGUUACCACAUGACCCCUCAGAUUCCAUUCCUAGAUAUAUACUCAAAAUAACUCAAACAGGUGUUUAAACAACACAUGUACACACGUGUUCACAGCCACAUUAUUCACAACAGUCAAAAGGUAGAAACAGCCCAAACAUCCAUCAGUAGAUGAAUGGAUAAAAUAAAUCAUGGUCUAGCCAUACAAUGGAAUAUUAUUUACCCAUAAAAAAGGGAUGGCAUAUGAAUGGAUGUGAUGGAUGGUCCUCAAAGCUAUUACGCUAAGUUUAAGAAGCCAGAAACAAAAAAUUGCGUGAUGUGAUUCCAUGUAUGUGAAAUAUCCAGAAAAGGACAACCCACAGAGACAAAAAGAGAUUAGUGGUUGCCAGGGUCUAGAGGAAGAGAGAAAUGAGGAGCACCUUUAAAAAAGGGUGUGGGGUUUUCUUUUGGGGUGAUGAGAAUGUUUUGGAACUAGAUAAAGGUAGCUGCACAAUAGUCUGAAUGUACUAUAAGCCACUAAAUUAUUCACUUAAGCACCGUUAACUUUCUGUUAUGUGAAUUUUCUGUUAUUUUUUUCAAUCACGAAAAAAAAAAAAAAAAGUCAAAGAAUAGAGUUGUUUUCUAAUCCUGGGGCAUCACAGGUUAGGUGCCAAAACCCAGUAGUAAGAAGAGGGAAAAAAAGAGAGAGACCAAAGUCAUGGUCAUUGUCAGAUGUCAAGCGACAUUGAACCUUAAACAAGUGCAAGAGGAGAGUCCAUGGCUGUGAACUCUUAAUAAAGGGCCCCAGCAGACCUGACACCGAAUCUCAGUGCUAUUUUCUAGGCUGUGUAUUGAUAGGUACUUCACAUUUCUGAGCGUCUUUGUCCAUAUUGGAAACAGACAGGGAUUUCUUUUUUUUGGAGGUUGCCUCAAGAACCAAAUGCCAGUAUUUACCAAACGCUAUUGAAAGUCAUUGUGUAUAACACAUAAUAAGUGUUCAAUCAAUGGAAACUUUAAUUAUCACAUCAUCAUUAUGCAUGGAUGGUGUGGUCAGGUCCACGUGUCUCUUCUGGUGGCCCGUGGACUAUGUAGAGAUCACCACUGUUAUCCCCAUGGUGAUGAGAGAAGUACAUGAGGAUGAACCCAGUUACACGGGCGCUUCCGAGGCUUCUGCUGACAUCAUCCCUGCUAACAUUUCACUGGUCAAAUUAAGUCAUGUGAUCAAGACCCACACAAAUGAGAGAGGAAAUAUAUGCCUGGUGCUCUAAUGAGAGCAACACAGCCAAGGACAUCAAGAUAGGGAAGAUGAAAAAAACUUGAAAUGAUAACACAAAUAUACCAUGCCAUCACAAGUUAUUUUAAAUCCCAGUUUAGAGACUGGAAACCAAACACCAGAGGCUUAGCAACUGUGCCAAGAUCAUUCAGCUUGAAAAUGACAGAGCGGGGUUUAAAACCAGGUCAUCUAAUUCUAAAGCACCGUAAAGAGGAGUCCCCAUGGUUGCUCAGUGGGUCAAGAACCCAAAAGAGUGUCCAUGAGGAUGUGGGUUCAAGCCCUGGUCUCCCUUAGUGGAUUAAGGAUCUGGUGUUGCCGUGGCUGUGACGUAGACCUAUAGCUGUGGGUCUAAUUUGACCCCUGGCCUGGAAAUGUCCAUAUCCCACCCCAUUAGACUAAGUCCCAUGAAGCUGGAGACCAUGACUCCAGAACCUGAUGUCAGGCCUGACACAUAGUAGGUAUCCCAUACUACUAUGACACACAGUAGGGAUGCACAGUUAGCUAGUCAAUGAAGGGAUGGAAAACAAUGUCACAGAAAAGAAGUAAAAACAUAACGAUCAGAGCAUGAACUCUGUCUGAAUCAGCGUCCUUGUUCUCCAUUUCAAGAGCACUAAAGGACAUUUCUGACGCCCUUUUAGAUUCCGUUUUCCCCGCCCCCUUUUUCCCUUCGUUGUUACUACAUCGCAGGAUAAAACAAUAAUUAUUGUCAUCAUGUGGAUGAUUCAGUGAGAUCUCAUGAUCUUGGCUGAUCUGAUGUGUUGUUGUUUGGCAGUUUCAAAUAAGCUCCCCAUGUGGCUAUUAAAUAAAGCAGGGACAAAUGAGAGAAAUUACGCUUCCGCUUUUCACUCCAGGACAAGUUGUUAUGUUUGUCUGAAUCUAAUUUCCCUUCGUCUAGAUCACUGAACCGAACCUCAGAUAUUGCCAGUGCCAAGAGGAGAGAGUUAGCGGUGAGGCCUGGUGAAUAAUUUGCGGGGUAACUUCUGGGAGGCAAUGCACCCCCUCUGGGCGGUUGUUUCUCUUCCUUUACAUAACAGGGCCUUUGGGGCUGAGCUGAAAUGGAGGCGGUUGAGAAGGUAAACAAUACCUUCCUCCUCUGGCUUGCUCCUUCCCAGGGGGUCCUUUCCAAACUCGGUGUGUGCUUCUUACCAUUGACAAGCCCCAAGCCUUGGGGGGGGGGGAGGGAAGAGGGGGGGAAACUUUAUUACUUGAGAAGGAGGGAGAAGGUUUUGAAUUUUAUUUUAUUUUAUUUUGUUUUGUUUUAUUUCAUUUUAUUAUUUCUAGAAGAAGGAGGGAGUGGGAUUCGGGGAUUGGAAAGGUGAUAAAAGUAUUCAAAAUGGCAUGGCAUCUGCCCGUGACUCCCGUCCCAGGGUUGAUUUGGAGCUGCCUACGGAUGGAGAGGUCCAGAUACAGAAAGUACAAGAGCCUUAGGGUCAGCACACGCCAACGUCCUUUGAUCCACUCACAGCAGACAGCAGGGCAGGGCCAUGUGCCCGUCUCUAAAGAAAACGGAAGGAUGGUCUGGGAUCCCAAAACUAGAGCCAUGGGAACAUCCAGAGAUGACGUUUGGAAAUGGACAUCAGAGGUCCCCAGAUGAGCAGCAGGGAGACCCUGGAAGCAGUUACAUGGGUGGGGUCUGUGGGAAGCUGGAACAGGAGGUGUCCGAUUCAUGGAACAUGGGCUUAAGGGACACCCAGGGAAGAUGGUCCAAAAGAAUUUUUUUGUUUUGUUUUGUUUUAAAAAAUUGAAGUAUAGUUGAUUUCCAAUGUCGUGUUAGUUUCCAGAUGUCCAACAAAGUGAUUCAGUCAUACCUAUGUGCUCAUUCUUUUCACAAAUACUCUUCUCCAUUAUGGUUUAUCAAAGAUGCUGAAUAUAGUCCCUGUGCGAUACAGGAGGUCUUUCUUGUUUAUCCACUUUAUAUACACCAAGGUGUAUCUGUUAAUACCAAGCUGCUAAUGUGUCUCUUCCCUUGGCCCUUUCCACUUUGGUAACUGUAAGUUCAUUUUCAACGUCCGUGUGUCUAUUUCUGCUUUGUAAGUUCAUUUGUAUCAAAAUUUUCAGAUUCUACGUGUAGGUGGUAUCAUAUAUUUUUCUUUCUAUUCCAGAAAUAAUUUAGAUACUUCCUAGGGUACCAUAGAAGCUUGAUUUUUAGUAAUAAGUCCGUGAUUUUUUUUUCCUACAAUCAUAAUUUUGGUAUAUAAAGUAAUUGUGACCUGAUUUUUUAGCCAUAAAACAAUGAGUCCUAGACAGAAAGGACUUGCAUUUUUUUUUAAAGGAGCAAAAAAAAAAAAAAAAAAAAA
Molecule: long non-coding RNA, 6020 nt
Filed under: Sus scrofa (pig)
Lineage: Eukaryota; Metazoa; Chordata; Mammalia; Artiodactyla; Suidae
Description: lncRNA (ENSSSCG00015069831.1)
Source: RNAcentral